UAUUUUUCAACACGGGAAACUGAAAUUGGGUAUAUCCCUGAGGAAGAAGCUGUCCCCUAGCGAAGAAUAAAACUGUGGACUGACCCCCACCCAUUUGCGAAGAAAGUACUGGGUCUUCAGCUUUCAUUGUCCAGUCGGUGGUCUUUGUGGACACCAGGGGCCCCUCCUGCUGAAGACUGUCUGGACUUCCCGAUUUUCACUCCUGUAUAAACCCCCUCCCCCAUUAGUACCUUUGUCUCCUUGGCGAAAAAAAAAAGUUUUUCACUUAAGUAAAAUAAAAGCUACCCAGUAUUUGUUUCUGGAGUGAAAUUAUAAACUUCAUUGUACAUUCUUCCUGGUUUUGAUGCUUAUCUUGAAGAGUUCAGUGAAAAUAAAUUGUUUUUAUGAAAGCA
This is a long non-coding RNA of Piliocolobus tephrosceles (Ugandan red Colobus), 392 nucleotides long. RefSeq lists it as uncharacterized. The record is from RefSeq and is a predicted model, not a curated record. NCBI's taxonomy places the organism in Eukaryota, Metazoa, Chordata, Mammalia, Primates, Cercopithecidae. The transcript has 2 exons.